RNAcentral lists this long non-coding RNA (25620 nucleotides) under Nicotiana tabacum (common tobacco). RNAcentral describes it as "long non-coding RNA (NTAB_LNC011284)". Lineage: Eukaryota; Viridiplantae; Streptophyta; Magnoliopsida; Solanales; Solanaceae. The record is from RNAcentral.
UUUUUUUUUUUAAGUUAAAAAACCCGUUCUCAUUCUCAUGACUAUUCAUAUUUUUUGUUUUUUUAUAUUUGUAGAAAUUUUGUCUACAUUAUGUAUAUUUGUUAUAGGUUAUCAACUUUUCUACAUUUUCCUGUAAAUUAUAAAUUUCUUGUAUAUUAUUCAAAAUUAUUUUGUUAGGGAAUGUACUACAUGAUUUAGUUGGUUUUAUUGGUUAUUAUUUGCUCUAUUUUGUACAUGUUAGUUUUAUUUUCUGUAAAGAAAUUGUAUAUAUUAUGUCUAAUUGUUACUUUCUAAUUUUUUGUUCUAAACAUAAUUUUAUCAGUGCAUUUGUAGCUUCAAUAUAGUCAGUUGUUAUAUAUGUUUACUAAUUUUAUAACUUACUUGUAUGCAACAACAACAACAACAACCCAGUAUAAUCCCACUAGUGGGAUUUGGGGAGGGUAGUGUGUACGCAGACCUUACCCCUACCCUGGGGUAGAGAGGCUGUUUCCAAAUGACCCUCGGCAUCCUUCCCUCCAAGAACUCCCCACCUUGCUCUUGGGUUGACUCGAACUCACAACCUCUUGGUUGAAAGUGUAGGAUGCUUACCAUCAUAGCAACCCACCUUGUCAAUAUAACUUACUUGUAUGCAAUGUAUUACUAUCUUUUUGAUUGUAGCUAAAUUGUAGUAGAAAUAUAUUUAUUUUGUUUUCUAGUAUUCAAACAAGUUUUAUUAACUUAUUGUUUCUUUUGGUGCAGAAUCGAACAUUUUUUGCACCACAUGAUGUUGAUUAUGGCAUCACUAGAUUCCAGACAUUAUCCGACGCUGCUAUUCCUAGCCAAAUCAAGGUGUUAUUAUCUGAAAAUGGGUUAAAGUUGUUUAAGAAGACAUAUUUUGGGCAUUUUCUUUCCCUGCCCAAAAUAUGUAUCCAAAAUCAGGCAAUUCACCUUCUCAUGAAGUAUGAAUUGAACGCAUCUGGUUCUAACUUUUUUACAGGAGAGAUAAAAGGUGAGAUGCUGAACUUUGGAUUGAGGGAGUUUGCCCUUAUCACUGGCCUUAGAUGUUUUACAGAAGUGACAAACUUUGGUUACACAACUAAGUAUGAUAGUAAAAUAAUAAGGAGCUAUUUUUCGAACAAGAAAAAAGUUGAGAAAUCAUACUUGAAAAAAAUUGUAACCAGCCGUAGUUGGGUGAAUGAUGAGGAUGCAGUCAAGCUGUGUAUUCUCUAUCUGAUAGAAUUCUUCCUAUGUCCUUCAGACAAAGAUAAUUUAGGUUUGAUAGACCAUUUUAGGUUCUACUUGGUGGACUCGGGGCAGUAUGCGAAUAACGCAUGGGGUAUCGAAGCUUAUACACAAUUGCUUUAGUCCGUUAGGCACAAGCUCAACCCUUUUGUGCAUUUUUAUCUCAUUCGAGAUUUUUCACUCGCUAUGCAAAUAUGGUUGUAUGAGUGUUGCUCUACAGUCAACACUGAUAUAGCUACAAGAGUUGGUAAUUCGAUCCCCGGUAUACUUAAAUGGACAGCUAGUAAGGACAAGAUAUGAUUAUCUGCAUUGGAAGAUAGAAUGAUCAAACCAUCAUGGAUCAUGGUAAAUAUUUUUUACUUCUGGACAUACAAUUUAAUACAAAUUAUCUACAUAUUUUAUACAUAUUAUGACUAGGUCCCUCGCAUUUAUUUUCACUCAGUUCACCAACAUACUUGAAUCCCCAGAAGAGCUUUCAAGAAUGACUUUGCCAGACAAAGUUGAAUACAUACUUGAAGAGGCUGAAACAAAGGCCGAGCAUCCGAUAGCUGCUCCAUCUCUAUCUGGACAUAAGCAGACAAUGGGAAUAGAUGACAAGAAAGAUAUUGUGAAACAAAUAAAAAUAAUUAAGAAAAGAUGUUGAUAAGGUAACAUGUAUACAUAAUCCUAGCUGGUUUCUUUAAUUUAUGUUAUGCAAAUUAUUUCGUUAACUCUUUCUAUUUUAAUACGUAGGUGGGUUCAGACCUUGGAACCUUCAAGAAAGAGGUAUACCUAAUUCUUGAUUUUUAGUCUUCUUUAUAUAUNNNNUACACACACACAUGUAAGCCUCUAAUUGUAAGAUACAUUAUGAUAAUUUUUUUGUUCUUUAGGUUUUUGAAGAACUAGGCAGCAUUCGACCGCUACUCAAUGAUUCUAUCAAGUCUGUUUUACAGGAAAUAAACAGUCAAAAGGAUACUAACAUUGAUGCUAAGGUUUCAUUUGAAAUAUAUUCAUUUUGGACAAUAACUUUUACCAUGUAUAUGUUUCUAUUAUCAUUCAUUAAGUAUAUAGCCUAACAAAUUAUGCUUGUAGUUUACUGGCAGUUCUACAAAAAAUGAUGAGCAUUACAAAGAAAACAACAAUCAACACAAUUCGGACAGUAGUGCUAAACCAGUGUUGGCCAGCAGCAGUAAAACAUGUAUCUUAAUAAUUUUAACAUAAUUGUUAAAAUUAUAUUCUACAUUAUAUUAAUAUUAUAUCUACAUUAUAUCUACAUAUAGCCUAAAUUACCAACAAAUAAUCUACAUUAUAUUUCCAAUUAUUUUCUUAGAUACAGGACACAUGGAUGACAUUCAAAAUGAGGAGAAUGUUCCUGUAGGCGUUGACUUAUCUUCCCAAUUUCAAGGGGUAUUGGAUGAAGAAACUGCAUGUAUGAUUUAGUACAUUUUAUCAACAUAUUUCACAAUACAUAUUGCAUCUCAGCUACAGGAAAGCAUUUUAACAAAUUUACUAUAAUUAAACUAUAAUAUAUCUACAGUGUUGUUUCUGUUUACUACAAAUUAUCUACAAUUUUAUUAAGUUAUACACAUUUAUUGUAACAGAGAAGAAAACUAUGCAUGUGGACUCUCCAAAACAGGAUGCUAAAGUUGGCAUACAAGGAGAGCAUUUAAAUGAGGAGAAUGAGACUACGAAUUUGCAAUCUCCCAUUCAACAAGCAAACGUUAUACAACAAGGAGACGAUUGCCGUGAAGAUUUCAGUGGUAUUAUAUGUUACAAUAUAAUUGUAGGAAAAAAAUAACAGGUUUUAUAUAAGUUUCAAUUUUCCAAAAAGAACUGAUGCAACCAGUAUACAAUGUUGUUCUUUUGUUUUAAAUUUUGAAGGUGAACCAGCUGACUACAUCAAUGUAGGUGAUUCGGACAAUGAUUACAGGUCUGGAAAAAGGGAAGUAAUAUUUGAUGAUUUUGAGCUACCAGAGAACUUCUCUCAUAUUGUUAAGUGGCGAACUUAAUGAAGAUGAAACAACUCAUGUGCAUCAAGGAAGAACAAGGUAGCCUGGAAAGCAUGCCAGAUCCCCUUUCUCCCUUUUUACAGUUCUGGGGGAACCACUUUUGUUGGACCUCUUUUUUCUCAUCAAGUAUCCAUUUACUGGGGUUAUUGGCAACGAUGUUGAUCCUGACUUGUUGGAAGAAUUCAAUAAGUGGUUAUACUUUGGUACCAACAAGGUUUCAAAGAGGUUAGAUUAUAUAAUAUUUUCAUAUUAUCGAGUGCAUACAAUUUUUGGAUUUCUAGUUGAAACUACAUAAUAAUUGUAUUUGCUAUGUGUUUAAAUAGAAGGAAGGUGCCUUAUUCUUUAAAAGAUAACCAGCUCAAGCCGUGGUAUGAUCUUGGAGUGGAGAAAGUGGAUAAAAAGGAGUGAUUUUAUACUUUGGCACAUCCCGGGCAAGUCCUCAACGACACAGUACACACAUACCCUGGCAGAAUUUAAUGAUUAGCUGUAGUGUUCUGUUAUUUUAGAAUUCUAUAGUUUUUUUGUUUGAAAAUUGUAGUUAAAUUGUAUGAAGCACUGAGAAAUAAUGAAAUCUAUUUUUUUUUGCAGCACAUUAAUGUUAUUUUAUACUAUUUGAGGAAAAGAUGAAAGUAUGGUCCUCAAAACAAAACACGGUUUACAACCACUGACUGUAUGUUCAAGAAUAGAAUUGAACAAAUUUAUCAGAGGUACAUUAAUGCUCCUGCCAAUAAGAAGCCUGCUGUUGUCAAACCCCAAGAUGUCGUAUCAAAAUACAUAUUGGGGUACAGGUUACUUGCAAAUAUUGCAUGGGAUAAAGUUAAUUUUUUUAUUAUGCCCAUAAAUAUUGUGGAGAAAUUUCAUUGGUUGUUGGCUGUGUUUGACAUUACCGAUAGGGUUCUAUAUGUUUAUGAUUCUAUGGUCUCUUCACGAAAUCACAACUUUGUUAAAUCUGUUGUCAACGAGUUUGUUGUUAUGAUCCCCCUCUACUUGUCAUGCACCGGCUUCUAUGGAAAGCGUCCAGACAUCAACUACAAGAACACAAAGGCAUACAUCAAAAAAGGUGUUACUAACCAUCUUGACAUUAAGUGAUUGGUCGGUGAGAUACCCCAGCAAAAAGAGGGAUCAUUGUAUGAAAAAAUUGCUUUUCCUUCUAUCUAUUUAACAGAUUGUAUUUUACAUUGAAUGCUAAAUCUUUUCCCCUAUUUUUUUUUUGCAGUGACUGUGGUGUAUACGUGGCGGCAUUUGCAGAAUAUGUCAGCAUUGGAGAACUAGCGAUUUCAAAGGAAGACCUUUCUGAAAUUGAUCAACACCGUAGACGCUAUAAAGCGCUACUUUGGGAUUAUGCUAGAAAAAAGCAAGAGCUUGGUGCAAUUAUUGAAAGUGAGGUGACUGGAAGAUUAGCAAGAAGAAAAGGUGGACCAGCGGUGAACGAGAGAACACAAGUCCGGAAAAAAAAAAGAAUUAGUUUCCCUUUUCAGUAGAAAAAUUAUAGUUAAACUGUUUAGUUGUAGCUGGUUUGUAGUAAAGUUGUAGACAAAUUGUUAACUAAGAACAAGUCAGCUGCAAUUUAUUUGUAGCAGAUUUGUGCUACGGUUGUUUUACCUUUUGUUUUGUUAUUUUGUCCAGAAUUCUACUACUUAGAAUAGAAAACAUCUGUGGUUUUUUUUUGGUUGAAAGUUGAAAGUACUUGAUCUCGAUAUUGUUACUAUAUAAUUUUUUUUACAGUUUAACUACAAUUAUGUCUACAACUACUAUACAAAAAUACAUAAUCCAUUCAAUUUUAAGCAGUGUUGUUAGGAAAUACUGAAAACUAAUAAAUAAACUCAGUAUUUGAACAAAAUAACUACAAACCAAUUGCAUUAAGAGUUUGUCACGACCCAAAACCUAAAUCGUCGUGAUGGCACCUAUCGUGAUACUAGGCAAGCCGGCGUUUCCAAACACUUUCAGCAUUUAAUAGAAAUGAAUCAAGACAUUUAAAAUAACCGGAGUUUUUCAUAAAAAUGAGGUAAAACCUAAAGCAUAAGUGCGGAAAAAUAGCUCGACAUCGGGGUGUCACUAAGUACAUGAGCAUCUAUACCAGGAGCAGUCUAAUACAACAUCUAAGGAAUAAGAACUGAAAUGUGAAUAAGAUAAUGAAGGAGAGCCAAUGCAUGCGAACGCCAUGCAGCUACCUCGAUAGUCUCCGGAAUCAGCUGCUCAAAUAUCAAUACCCGCUACGACCGGGAAUACCUGGAUCUGCACACGAAGUACAGGGUAUAGCGUGAGUACAACCAACUCAGUAAGUAACAAAAUAAAGUAAGGAACUGAAGAAGGUAGUGACGAGUUAUACAAUNNNNNNNNNNNNNNNNNNNNNNNNNGACAGUUUAAGUCAAAUAAGUUUUACACAGUUAAAGUGCAGGUAAUCAAGAUAUAGAAUCUUUCAGAAAUUUCACAACAAUGACAGAUAGAAGCUAAGUGCAUCAACAAAUGAAAAACAAGUACAGCCUCUCAGGGCAACAGUCGCUCAACUCGUCACAACAACUCAAUCACUCGGCUCUCAGCCCUCAGUACUCACACUCAAUAGCUACAUGCGCUCACUGGGGGUGUGAAGACUAUGGAGGGGCUCCUUUCAGCCCAAGCGCUAUAUCGUUGAGGCAUGUAGCCCGACCCAAUCAUAUAAGUAUCCAUAAGGCUUGUUGCAGUGUGCAACCUGAUCCACAGUCCAUAAAUAGCCAUAAGGCUCGUUGUAGCGUGAAACCCAAUCCAUAUAGCCUCGCAUAGCUCACAGCUCGGCACUCAGGCCCCAUCUUAGUCACUAACCUUUCCAUCCCCCUCGUACUUUCAGAAAUCAAACAAAUCAGCCAAAAGAGAAAAUAACAAGUGUCAACAAGAAAACAAAAGGAAACGGAGAUAUGACUCGCAAGUAGCACUGUGACUGAGUUCAAGACAGCAAACAGAUGUUAAUCAACAAGUACUCAACCGCUGCGAGUCCCAACAAUUGUAACAUAUGGCCUAAGCAUGGUUUCUAACAUGAAUGGCAGCCAAAUUUCUAGAAGACAGAGGGAACAUGUAAUUAACAAUAAGCUAUUCGACUUUACUGUCUCACGGGACGGACCAAGUCCCAAUCCUCCACGGUGCACUCCCACACGCCUGUCACCUAGCAUGUGCGUCACCUCCAAAAUAAUCACAUCAUACCAAAAUCUGGAGUUUCAUACCCUCGAGACCAGAUUUAAAACUGUUACUUACCUCAAACCGCGCAAAAUCCUACUCCGCAAUGCCUUUGCCCCUCGAAUCAAUCUCCAAAUGCCCUGAAUCUAGACACAAGCAGUAUGACAUAAUUAAUAUAGGCUAAAAGGAUCAAUUCCACAAGAAAAACACAAAAUUAUAAGCCAAAAUCUGAAAUAGCCUCAAAUCGCCCCCGGGCCCACGUCUCGAAAUCCGACAAAAGUCACAAAAUAUGAACAUCCAUCCACCCAUGAAUCCAACCAUAUAAGAAUUACUCAAAUCCAACCUCAAAUCACCUUCCACAACCCGAAAUUUUAGCCUAUGAAGUUUCUACCAUUUUUCCCCAAAUAUUAAACUUAAAUCCCUAAUUAUAUGAUGAAAAUAGAAAUAGAUUCAUGAAAUAUUGUCCAAUCUGAGUAAGAAUCACUUACUCCAACAAUAUUCUUGAAGAAACCUCGAAAACUCGCCUCACAUCGAGCUCUCAAAGUCCCAAAAUCAAAAUGGGAAUCAAACCCUCGAAAUCCCAUUUUUUUCCCAGUUCACUGUCGCACCUGCGGAAUUUCCCUCGCCGAUGCGGAAGUGACGUAAGGGACAGGGUCCACAUCUGCGAGCAAGUGGUCGCACCUACGGACAAAGGUCUGCUUCUACGAUCUUCCCCUCCAUCUCACUUUCUGCUUCUGCAGAGCUUCGAGUCGUAAAUACCCUCGCACCUGCGACUCCAGGCCAUCUCCUCAAGUCCCGCUUCUGCGCUCCUUCAUCUGCAUGUGUGAGUACGCACCUACGGUCAACCCACCGCAUGUGCGAAACCACCAGAUAUCAGAAGGCUUCAGCCAUUUGCCUAUGUCCAAAUUCAAACCUUUAAGCAUCUGAAACACACCCGAGGCCCCCAAGACAUCAACCAAAUAUACCAACAAGUCCUAAAACACCAUACGAACUUAGUUGAGCCCUCAAAACAUGUCAAACAACAACAAAAACAUGAAUCACCCUCCAAUCCAAACUAAAUGAACUUCAAAAUUUCCAAAUUAUACAAACGAUGCUGAAUCAUACCAAACCACAUCCGAUUGACCUCAAAUUUUGCACACAAGUCAUAUUCAACAUUACGGACCUACUCCAUCUUCCGGAAUCGGAAUUCGACCCCGAUAUCAAAAAGUCAACCCCACGGUCAAGCUUCCCAAAAAUUUGACUUUCGCCAUUUCAAGCCUAAAUUAGCUACAGACCUCAGAUUCACAGUUCGGACACGUUCCUAAGUCCAAAAUCACCCAACGAAUCUAACAAAAUCGACGAAACUCCAUUCUAGAGUCGUCUCCACACAAUUCCGACUACGGUCAAACUCCUAAGACUUAAGCUUCCGUUUUAGGGACUAAAUGUCCCAAAACACUCUGAAACCAAAAACAAGACCUCUCAGCAAGUCACAUAAGCAGAAACAGAUACGGGAAAAGCAAUAAAUAGGGGAUCAGGGCUAAUACACUUAAAAUGACUGAUCGGGUCGUUACAUCCUCCUCCUCUUAAAACCAUCGUUCGUCCUCGAACGAGCAUAGAGACAUACCUGAAGUGGUGAAAAGAUGAGUAUAAUGGCUGCGCAUAUCAUUCUCGGUCUCCCAAGUCGCCUGCUCGACUGGCUGACCCCUCCACUGAACCUUCACAGAAGCAAUAUUCUUUGACCUCAGCUUUCGAACCUGCCUCUCUAAGAUCGCCACCAGCUUCUCAACAUAAGAUAAAUCCUUGUCCAACUAGACUGAGCCGAAAUCCAACACGUGAGAUGGAGCACCGUGAUACUUCCGGAGCAUAGAAACAUGGAAUACUUGAUGAACUCAUGUUUGACUGGGAGGCAAGGCAAGCUCAUAAGCAACCUCUUCAAUACGUCGCAAUACCUCAAAUGGACCGAUAAACCUUGGGCUCAGCUUGCCCUUUUUUGAACCUCAUAACACCCUUCAUGGGUAACACCCGGAGCAAGACCCGCUCUCCAACCAUGAAUGCAACAUCGUGAACCUUCCGAUCUGCAUAACUCUUCUGUCUGGACUAGGCUGUGCGUAGUCUAUCCUGAAUCACCUUAACCUUCUCUAGAGCAUCCUGAACCAAGUCUAUACCCAAUAAUCUAGCCUCGCCCGUCUCGAACCAGCCCACUGGAGACCUACACCGCCUUUCCAUACAGAUCCUCAUACGGUGCCAUCUGUAUGCUCGACUGAUAACUGUUGUUGUAGGCAAACUCCACUAGUGGCAAGAACUGAUCCCACAAACCCCCAAACUCCAUCACACAUGCAUGGAGCAUAUCCUCUAAUAUCUGAAUAGUGCGCUCGGACUGUCCGUCCGUCUGAGGGUGAAAUGUUAUGCUCAACUCCACUCGAGUACCCAACUCAUACUGUACGGCCCUCCAGAACUGUAAUGUAAAUUAUGUACCCCGGUCAGAGAUGAUAGAUACCGACAUGCCACGAAGCCUGACGAUCUCGCUGAUAUACACUCGAGCCAGCUGCUCGAAAGAAUAGGUAGUCAUCACAAGAAUGAAAUGAGCUGACUUGGUAAGCCGGUCCAUAAUCACCCAAACUGCAUCAAACUUCUGCUGAGUCCGUGGAAGCCCAACAAUGAAAUCUAUAGUGAUCUGCUCCCAUUUCUACUCCGAAAUCUCUAACUUUUGAAGCAACCCACCUGGUCGUUGAUGCUCAUACUUCACCUGCUGGUAAUUUAGGCACCGAGCUACAUACUCCAUUAUGUCCUUCUUUAUUCUCCUUCACCAGUAAUGUUGUCUCAAGUCCUGAUACAUCUUUGCAGCACCCGGAUGAAUAGAACACCGUGAACUGUGAGCCUCCUAGAGAAUCAACUCAUGAAACCCAUAUACAUUGGGCACACAUAGCCUGCCCUGCAUCCUUAAUGCACCAUCAUCCCCAAUAGUGACAUUCUUAGCAUCACCGUGUUGGACAGUGUCCUUAAGGACAAGCAGAUGGGGGUCAUCAUACUGACGCUCCCUGAUACGACAAUAAAGAGAAGACCGAGAGAACACACAAGCCAAUACUCGACUCGGCUCAGAGAUAUCCAAUCUAACAAACUGGUUGGCUAAGGCCUGAACAUUUAAUGCCAAUGGCCUCUCUGCUGCUGGAAGAUAUGCUAAGCUCCCCAAACUCUCCGCCCGGCGACUCAAGGCAUCAGCCACCACAUUGGCCUUCCCGAGAUGGUACAAAAUGGUGAUAUCAUAGUCCUUAAGAAGCUCCAGCCACCUCCGCUGAUGCAAGUUAAGAUCCUUUUGUUUGAAUAGAUGCUGCAAACUCUGAUGAUCAGUGUAAAUCUCACAAUGGACCACGUACAAAUAGUGCCGGCAAAUCUUCAAGGUGUAAAUAAUAGCUAUUAACUCAAGGUCAUGGACAGGAUAGUUCUUCUCAUGGGGCUUUAACUGGCGCGAAGCAUAAGCAAUCACUCUACCCUCCUACAUCAGAACACACCCAAUACUGAUCCGCGAGGCAUCACAAUACACUGUGUAAGAACCAGAAGCUGAUGAUAGAACUAAAACUGGAGUCAUGGUCAAAGAAGUCUUGAGCUUCUAAAAGCUCUCCUUGCACUCCUCCGACCACCUGAAAGGAGCACCCUUUUGGGUCAGUUUAGUCAAGGGCGAUGCGAUAGAUGAGAAGCCCUCCACAAAACAACGGUAAUAACCAGCCAAACCAAGCAAACUCUGAAUCUUCGUGGCUGAGGACGGUCUGGGCCAACUCUGAAACGCCUCUAUCUUCUUCGGGUCUACCUGAAUACCCUUACUGGACACCACAUGUCCCAAGAACGCCACUGAACUAAGCCAAAACUCACACUUGGAGAACUUUGCAUAAAGAUUCUCCUCCCUCAACCGCUAUAACACAAUCCUCAUAUGCUGGGCAUGCUCCUCCUGGCUACGAGAGUACAUCAGGAUGUCGUCAAUGAAUACAAUAACGAACAAGUCAAGAUAAAGCUGAAACACACUGUUCAUCAGAUGCAUGAACGUUGUUGGGGUGUUGGUCAGCCCAAAAGACAUCACAAAGAACUCAUAAUGGCCAUAUCGGGUCCUGAAAGCUGUCUUAAGAAUAUCUGAGUCCCAAAUCUUCAGCUGGUGAUAUCCUGACCUCAAAUCAAUCUUGGAAACACCAUCACUCCCUGAAGCUGGUCAAACAAAUCAUCAAUACGCAGCAAUGGAUACCUAAUCUUAAUUGUGACCCUGUUCAACUGCCUGUAAUCAAUGCACAUUCUCAUAGUACCAUUCUUCUUCUUUACAAAUAGAACUGGUGCACCCCAAGGUGACACACUAGGCUGGAUAAACCCCUUAUCAAGGAGUUCCUGAAGUUGCUCCUUCAAUUCCUUCAACUCCGUUGGUGCCAUACAAUACGGUGGAAUAGAAAUGGGCUGAGUGUCCGAUACCAAAUCAAUACCGAAAUCAAUAUCCCUAUCGGGCGGCAUACCCGGUAGGUCUACAGAAAACACAUUCGGGAAAUCUCGCACCAUCAGAACAAAAUCAAUAGUAGGGGUCUCUGCACUAACAUCCCUCACAAAUGCCGGAUAAGAUAAACAACCCUUCUUAACCAUCCGAUGAGCCUUCAAGUAUGAAAUCACACUACUGGGAACAUGUUCUAUAGAUCUGCUCCACUCAACCCUCGGCAACCCCGGCAUCGCCAACGUCAUAGUCUUAGCGUAACAAUCUAGAACAUCAUGACAUGGAGACAACCAAUCCAUACCCAAUAUCACGUCAAAAUCGACCAUACUAAGCAACAAGAGAUUUACUCUAGUCUCUAGACUCCCAAUAAUCACCACACAUGACCGAUAUAUAUGGUCCACAAUGACAGUAUCGCCCACUGGCGUAGACACAUGAACAGGUAAAACUAGAGACUCACGUGGCAUAUCCAGAUAAUGAGCGAAAUACGAGGACACAUAUGAAUAAGUAGAACCAGGGUCAAAUAAUAAAGAGGCAUCUCUAUGGAAAACUGAGACAAUACCUGUAAUCACAGCAUCCGAAGCAAUGACAUCUGGUCUGGUAGGAAGAGCAUAGAAAUGGGCCUGGCCUCCCCUGAUCGGGUGGCCCCUAGCUGACUGGGCUCCACCCCGAGCUGGCUGAGCGGGUGGUGAAGAAACUGGUGUUGAUGUUAUAGACUGGCUCAUCUGCUAAGCUGGACCUCCCACUAGGCGGGGGCAUUGCCUCCUCAUGUGACCAAACUCUCCACACUCAUAGAAACUCCCCAGUGCUGGUUCUCGGGACUGAAGGGAGCCCGGGGCACCGGGAUAACUGGUAGAAGGACCUGGCAUAGAUGAGCCCUGACCCGAUGGAGCACGGGAUGAACUCUAAGCUGGGAGAGCACUGAGAGAUGAAUGGCCCUGCUGAUAACUGUGUAAACCAUGGCCAGAUGAUGCACCACGGUGAACUGGGCGAGCCGUCUGAGCAUGUCUAAAAGGACGACCUUUACCGUGGUGGAACUGACCAUCAGAAAGAACACUGCUAAAUCCACCCUGACCACGAGGCCUCUUAACCUCCCUCUCGACCCGCUCCUGGCUGUGAACCAUCUCAAUCUGACGAGAAAUGUUGACAACCUUAUCAAAGGUAGCACGAGACACUCUCUCUCUAGUCAUAAGCAAUCGUAGCUGAAAAGUGAGGCCAUAUAUGAACCUUCUAAUCCUCUCUCUGUCUGUAGGAACCAACCAGAUAGCAUGAUGGGCCAACUAUGAAAAUCUUAUCUCAUACUGCAUCACGGAUAUAUCACCCUGACGAAGCUGCUCGAACUGCCUGCGCAGCUCCUCUCUACGGGACUGUGGCACGAAAUUCUCCAGGAAUAGACAGGAGAAUUGUUGCCAUGUAAAGGGUGAUGCGCCAACCGGCCUACGCCUCUCGUAAGCCUCCCACCAAUUGAAGGUAGCCCUAGAAAACUAAAAAGUAGUGAACGAGACCCUACUGGCCUCUAGAAUACCUGUUGUACGGAGUAUCCUCUAACACCUGUCCAAGAAGCCUUGUGCAUCCUAUCCCUCGGCACCACUGAAAGAUAGAGGCUGGAGUCUCCCAAACCUCUCCAAUCGAUACUGCUCAUCAUCAGGCAUGACAGGAACCACAUAGUCCUGAGCAGCUGCAACUCGUUGGGCUGGUGGUGCCCCCAGUGUCUGUAAUCCCUGUACCACCUGCUCUAGUGUGUGCGCGCGGCGGGAGUUUGAGAACCUCUCCCGGCCGGAGCAGAGACUGCCUGAGCAAAACUGGUACACGCGGUCAGGAUCUGAGCUAAGGCCUACUGAAGGCCUGGAAUCAUAAUAGGCACAGGUGGUGCCUGAGCCGGUCCCAUAGGCUCAUCCACAACUGGAGUCUGCUCCUGAACUGGGGCAACUGGCGGAUUUGCAGGUGCUGUCCUAGCUGCGGUACGAGCUACACCUCUGCCCCUACCGCGACCUCGGCCUCUCGUAGCCCUGACUGGUGGUACUAGUGGCUGUCUAUCCUGCCCCAAAGUACACGUCCUCACCAUCUGUGAGAGAAUUAGAACGACAGAAAUUUAGUUACCAGAAUCAAAAGAUUCGCAAGACAAAAAUUCAAGAAUGUGAAAUUUUCUAAGGGUUCGGCAGCCUCUCGAAGAUAAGUACAGACGUCUCUGUACCGAUCCGCAAGACUCUACUAAACCUGCUCAUGACUCGUGAGACCUAUGUAACCUAGGCUCUGAUACCAACUUGUCAUGACCCAAAACCUAACACAUCGUGAUGGCGCCUAUCGUGAUACUAGGAAAGCCGAUCUUUCCAAACACUUUCAACAUUUAACAGAAAUGAAUCAAGAUAUUUAAAAUAACCGGAGUUUUUCAUAAAAAUGGCGUAAAACCCAAAGUAUAAGUGCGGAAAAAUAGCCCGACAUCGGGGUGUCACUGAGGACAUGAGCAUCUAUAUCAGGAGCAGUCGAAUACAAUAUCUAAGGAAUAAGAACUGAAAUGCAAAUAAGAUAAUGAAGGAGAGCCAAGGCCUACGAACACUAUGCAGCGACCUCGAUAGUCUCCGAAAUCAGCUGCUCAAAUAUCAACACCUGCUACGACCGGGAACACCUGGAACUGCACAUGAAGUGCAGGGUGUAGCGUGAGUAUAAACAACUCAGUAAGUAACAAAAAUAAAUAAGGAAUUGAGAAGGUAGUGACGAGCUGUACAAAUACAAUUCAUUUUUAAUAAUUUCAGCAAAGAAUAGACAUGCUUUCAAAUCCGACAGUUUAAGUCAAAUCAGUUUUACACAGUUAAAGUGUAGGUAAUCAGGAUAUAGAAUCUUUCAGAAAUUUCACAACAACGAUAGAUAGUAGCUAAGUGCAUCAACAAAUGAAAAACAAGUACAGUCUCUCAGGGCAGCAGUCACUCAACUCGUCACAACAACUCAAUCACUCGGCUCUCAGCCCUCAGUACUCACACUCAAUAGGUACAUGCGCUCACUGGGGGUGUGCAGACUACGGAGGGGCUCCUUUCAGCCCAAGCAUUAUAUCGUUACGGCGUGCAGCCCGACCCAAUCAUAUAAGUAUCCAUAAGGCUCGUUACGGCGUGCAACCCGAUCCAAAGUCCAUAAAUAGCCAUAAGGCUAGUUGUAGCGUGAAACCCGAUCCAUAUACCCUCACAUAGCUCAUAGCUCGGCACUCAGGCCCUAUCUCAGUCACUAACCUUUCCAGCCCUCUCGGGCUUUCGGAAAUCAUACAAAUCAGCCAAAAGAGAUAAUAAUAAGUGUCAACAAGAAAACAAAAGGAAACGAAGAUAUGACUCGCAAGUAGCACUGUGACUGAGUUCAAGACAGCAAAUAGCAGUUAAUCAACUAGUACUCGAUCGUUGUGGGUCCCAACAGUGGUAACAUAUGGCCUAAGCAUGGUUUUUAACAUGAAUGGUAGCCAAAUUUCUAGAAGACAGAGGGAACAUGUAAUUAACAAUAAGCUAUUCGACUUUACAGUCUCACAUGACAUACCAAGUCCCAAUCCCACACGGUGCACGCCCACACGCCCGUCACCUAGCAUGUGCGUCAGCUCCAAAAUAAUCACAUCAUACCAAAAUCUGGGGUUUCAUACCCUCAGGACCAGAUUUAAAACUGUUACUUACCUCAAAUCGCACAAAAUCCUACUCCGCAAUGCCUUUGCCCCUCGAAUCAAUCUCCAAAUGCCCCAAAUCUAGCCACAAGUAGUAUGACAUAAUUAAUAUAGGAUAAAAGGAUCAAUUCCACAAGAAAAACAUGAAAUUAUAAGCCAAAAUCUGAAAUACGCUCAAACCAGCCCCCAGGCCCACAUAUCGAAAUCCGACAAAAGUCACAAAAUGUGAACACCCAUCCACUCACGAGUCCAACCAUACAAGAAUUACUCGAAUCCAACCUCAAAUCAGCUUCCAAAACUUGAAAUUUUAGCCUAUGAAGUUUCUACUAUUUUUCCCCAAAUUUACAACUCAAAUCCAUAAUUAGAUGAAGAAAAUAGCAAUAGAUUCAUUAAAUAUAGUCCAAUCCGAGUUAGAAUCACUUACCCCAACAAUAUUCUUGAAGAAACCUCAAAACAUCGCCUCACACCGAGCUCUCAAAGUCCCAAAAUCGAAAUAGGAAUCAAACCCUCGAAAUCCCAUUUUCUGCCCAGUUCUUCCGCAUCAGCGGACCCCUUGUCGCACCUUCAACGCCGCACCAGCGGAAUUUCCCUCGCAGGUGCGGAAGUUACUUAAGGUAUUGGGUCCGCAUCUGCGAGCAAGUGGCCGCACCUGCAUGUGCACACCUGCGGACAAAAGUCUGUUUCUGCGAUCUUCCCCUCCAUCUCAUUCUCCGCAUCUGCGGAUCUUUGAGCGCAUAUGUGGGAUCGCAGAUGCAUAAAUGCCCGCGCACCUGCGACUCCUGGCCAUCUCCUCAACUCCCGCUUCUGCGCUCCUUCAUCCGCACGUGCGAGUACGCACCUGCGGUCACCCCACUGCAUGUGCAAAACCACCAGAUAUCAGAAGGCUUCAGCCAUUUGCCUAAGUCCAAAUUCAAACCGUUAAGCAUCCGAAACACACCCGAGGCCCCCGGGACCUCAACCAAAUAUACCAACAAGUCCUAAAAUACCAUACAAACUUAGUCGAGCCCUCAAAACAUGUCAAACAACAACAAAAACACAAAUCACCCUCCAAUCCAAACUUAAUAAACUUCGAAAUUUCUAAAUUCUAUAAACGAUGUCAAAUCAUACCAAACCACGUCUGAUUGACCUUAAAUUUUGCACACAAGUCAUAUUCAACAUUACGAACCUACUCCAACUUCCGUAAUCAGAAUCUGAUCCCGAUAUCAAAAGUCAAUCCCCCGGUCAAACUUUUCAAAAAUUUAACUUUCGUCAUUUCAAACCUAAAUUAGCUACAGACCUCAGAUUCACCGUCCGGACACGUUCCUAAGUCCAAAAUACCCAACUAAGCUAACAAAACCGACAGAACUCCAUUCCAGAGUCGUCUUCAUACAAUUCUGACUACGAUCAAACUCCUAAGACUUAAACUUCCGUUGUAGGGACUAAGUGUCCCAAAACACUCUGAAACCAAAAACAAGACCUCCCGGUAAGUCAUAUAAGUAAAAACAGAUACGGAAAAAGUAUUAAAUAGGGGAUCAGGGCUAAUACACUCAAAAUGACCGGCCAUGUCGUUACAGAGUUGAAAUCUUUUUAUCAAACAUUUCAUUAUAGGAGACAGUCUUUAUUCAAAUUAGCAACACAAUUACACCUCAACUAUAAUUUUCCAGAAUAGAAUAAAUACAACUCCAUAUGUCUUAAAGGACAUAUUAUCAUCAACAAUACUUAGGGGGAAAAAAUAUCUUGUGACUGUAUCAAUUUUUAUUUCCUUUUGAGAGCAUUCCUACAAGAUCUUUUGUUAUGCCCUUCUAGUCCGCAGUUGCCACAUGAAACCUUGUACUUCUUUGAAUUUACUUCAUCAUAUGGUUUGUAUAUUUAUUUUUGAGGUCUCCCUGGCUGUGUUUUCCCAGUAGGUGUCAUUACAACUUCUUCAGCUAUAUGUUGUGGCACAUUCUAUUUGCUUUCGCCAAGCAACGGGUCUACUGGUAUUUCAUAAGUCUGCAAAAGGCUCUCCCUCGUGUAAUAAGUAGAACAAUAAUUUUCAUAAGACUCGUUCCUAUGCCUCAAAGUCGCCAAAGCAUGUGCACAAGGAAGUUCAUCAAGCUAGAAUUGUCCACAACUACAUCUCUUAUUUUGAAGGCAAACAAUGAAGCGCUUCACACCAUCUAUCACAGUAUGGAUGUGAUCUGUGGAAUCCCUCACCUACAAUUUCAUUACAAACACACAAUAAGUUGUCAGCAACAGAUACAAAAAUAAAAUAAAUACAAUUAUACAAUAAUUUUUCUAUAAUUAAUAAUAUAUAUUUAGUUUGAUGGAAUCAAUGAUCUGAUGUUACUGGCUAUAGCUUACUCUCAUCUUCUGUGAUAAUAUCUUGUUGUCCUCCAACUCUUUGUUGUAUUAUUUUCAAAGGUAUGUGAACGUACCCUUUGUAUUCAAUAACUUUUCAUUAGUCCAACGUUCAAGAACAGUCCUUAUGUACUCUAAUUGUUCUACUACGGGCAGCUCUCUUGCAUCUUUUGUUACCGCAUUCAAUGACUCUACAAUGUUUGAUGUCAUCGUCCACGUUUUGUUCACCGUAGCAUGUACCCGAGACCAUCUGUGAUAGCCAAUAUUGUAUAGGUAUGCUUUAACACGCGUGUCAAUCUCUUCAAUCUUUGACAUUCUUUCAUUAAAUUCAUCAAGAGUGUAUGAUCGUGUCAUGACAAAGUACAAUUCGCUUAACUUUAGAUGACCCUUCUUGAACUUUGACCUUACAUUUGUCCAAAUAUGCCACAUGCAAGCAUAAUAUGGCAUGCCGGUAUAAAUAGUAGAUGUUGCCUUCAAGAUACUCUCAUUCUGGUCCGAAACAACACACAUAUUUGGUUUUUCACCAUAUGCAUGUUUGAAUUGCUCAGAAACCACCUCCAUGAUGCGUCAUUUUCUGAAUCAACAACAGUGUAUGUCAGUGGUAAUAUGCUACCUAUCACACAGGUGUCAAAAAGAAAUUCAAUUUCUGUAAUAAAACUUGAGAGUAUAAAAAACACAUACUGAAAAAUAACUUUAUAACAAUAUUUCUACAAUUAAUCUACAAUACCUGUUGCAUCCAUUGUGCUAGCUAUUAACAUAAUUUCCCUAUAUACCGAUUUCAAGAAGGUUCCAUCAACUACUACAACUGGCCUACAAUACUCCCAACCAUUGAUGGACGUACUAAGUGCAACAAAUGUGUACAAGAAAUAGUCAUCUUCAGUCUUCUAUAAUUUCACUACCGACCCCGGAUAAGUCUUCUCCAGAAUAUACAAAUAAUUCGGCAAGCGACUGUAGGAAUCAGCAGGAUGACCUCUCAAAAAUUCCAAAGCCUUUUCCUUUAUUCUCCAAGCUUGCAUGUAUGUUAAGUUCACACCAUGAUCCGACAAUAUAUCAGUUUGCAUAUAUUUUGGUGUAUAUAUUGUCUUAGGAUCCGCAUGUUUUGGUAUCACCAUGCUGCUAACUACCAUGGCAGUAGGUUUGCGUUGUAUGUAUGUGUUGUCCAUCAAAGAGCAUGUGUGCAAGCUGUUGAAUUUUGGAACCUUGAACAAUGCUAAUUCGUUUGCUGGUGGACUUAAAGUGCCAUGUACAAUUGUCCCCAACACAUACGAGGCAGUAGCUACAGAAUAAAAAUAAUUCAAAAAUAUUAUGAAAAAUGUAGCUACAAAAUACGAGGCUGUUUAAGCACAAAAAUCUUAUAUUAAACAAUAUAAACUACAGAUUAUACAAAAAUAUGAAUUUGACAAAUGAAAUGUUCCUACUUUCUUGCACCAGACCUUUUCACCCUAAAUUAAAAACUAUUCAUGACAGAAUAGUGCUUCAUUGCACUGACAAUUAUUUGCUUGUCUUGGUAAACUUGGCCUACUUCAAUAACAUUUGGCGUAUGUUCUGUUAUGAUGAUACUUUCAUAUUCCACAAUUGUCGGAGAUGUUGGCCUAUCAAUCAACUUUAUUGUUCCUGAUACUUCUCUAAUUGUGAUACAAUUGCUUGACAAUUGUACCACGUUAGACAUAUGAUAAUCAGAUGAACCUGCACUCAAUUAAAAGUAUCUAUAAUUCAGACCUCUGUAUAUUUAUGUGUUCAGUAUUUGACAGAAUACUUUAAGAGACAUAAAAGUUGAACUACAUGUAUUAUGUAGUAUUAUUGUAGAUAAGUUAUAGUAAAAUUAUAGAACACAUGAAAUUGACAAAACAUCAGCACUGAAAAAAUAGAGCAAACCUGCAAUUGUGCUCGAAUUAGAGAUACUGCAUUCCAAAUCGAAACCAUGCAUUGUUAUACACAGCGGAUACAUUCCGAAGUUUUUGUUUUCCUUUUUCGUCUCCAUAUAUACUCGAACUCCCAUAUCGUUCCAAAUUUUUAUUGGAGGACAACGUUCCUUGACAGUGUAUUUGAUUUCGAUGAUUUUUGCGGAGGUAUCGAUUAUUAGAUACUAUCCCAGUGACUAUUUAGCUGAAACAUAAUCGCUAAUUUUGAUAUUAUAUCGUGAAAUUCAAUAAACUUGUAGCUAAUUGUUUGCAAAAAAAAAUUUUAAAACCUUCGUUUAUGGAAACCAGAGAAAACCAGAUAAUAGAACUUGAUAAUGGUGCGAUGAUAAUCAGAGAAAAUCGGCAUAAUAACAGGAUUCUACAAAUACAUUGGCUUGAUUAAAGUGCGAUGAUUGCAUCAGUAAAAUCUCUGAAGAAAUAUACGCGAUCCCAAAAUCUCACGUCUAAAUAAGGAAGACUACCGCAGAAAGGAUUCUAGUUUAAAUAAAUGUAUAUAUUUUGUAGAUAAAACUUAUUUAGGUCAGGUAAAUAACUAAACGUGGACGUUUUUGAUAAUAAAGUUUCAAAUAGUAUAUAAGAACGAAAAAAUCUCUUAUUAAUACACCAUAUUCAGCAUUAUUCUUAUGCACCCUACCAAACAACCCCUUAGUAUUGAGAGUGUGUUUCACUUGCAAUUCCUUGAGAAGGGUUUUAGUUUCUCGGAAACAGUCUCUCUGCCCUUCCAGGGUAGGAGUAAGGCUGCGUACAUUCUAUUCUCUCUAGACCUCACUUGUGAAAUUACAUUGGGUUGUUAUUGUUGUUGUUGGGUUUUAGUUGUUUCUUUAAAUAUUUUUUCUCUUCUCAAUUUUUCUUUUAAAUUUUGAUUUUUAAAUCUUGUUUUUACAUUUGGUUCUGAUAUUUUAAAACUCAUCACAAUUCCUUUAAUUUGUUUCAAAUUACUGCUCUACAAGUUUCAAAAUAAUUGUCAUUUCCCGAGUUUUGGUUCAAAUUACUGCUCUUUAAAUUUGUUUAUAUUUGGUUCUGAUAUACUCUGGCUUUGUUUCUAUAUAAUUAAAUGUUAUUUUUAUAGAAGUCUAUUAAUAUCCCUGAUUCAACUUUGGUCAAAUUAACCUUUAAUAAGUGAAAAGGGACUAACAAAUAGGGAUAGAAGAAGUAAUUUAUUAGUGUUUUCAUUUUCUUUCUUUUUAAAAGCAGACCUUGAGUGAAUGAAAUUGAUAAUAAUAUAUUGAACUCUCUCCUUGCCUAUUCUCCGUUUUCUUUACAUUGUUUUGACUGUUUUCUUUCCUUUUCUAAUCUCUAUUUUUUGUUAUUUUACAUUUCUAAACACAGUUAUGACUCUUUGCCAUGAUUAUGAAGUGAUUUAUUCUAAUAUCUAAAGUUCUCUUGAAUUUUGCUUACAAGCUAAGUUACUCUGAAACAUGGUUUCUAUUAGGGACAUUCUCUUGUUUCUUUCCUAUUUGGGAUAAUUUGAUUUAGAAAAUAAGCUCUAGUGUUUGACUAAUAUAUAAAAAGGGCUUGCUAAUGAUAUCUAAGAUUGUUAUUGUAAUUAGUGAUUGAAAAGAGAAGGGAAGCAAGUUUUAGUUUUAAAUUAAAACAUGACUAUUUUAAUCAAUUGCUUUAACAGAUAUUUGAGUUUUGAGGCAUUAUGAGUACCUGUUUUACACCUCCAAGAGGCAUUAUGUCCCCGCAAAUUUUAUUUUCCCAGCGAAAAUCACAUUAGCACCGCUAAUCUCAAAUAUCUGCUAGUAAGUGGUAAUAGUAUUUAAUUGUGACUUCCCAUUUAAAUUUUGACACCUGAAUUGAAUAGAAUCAUGAAAUCUACUACUACACUACGACUGAGGUUUACAUUAGUCUUUGGUAGUAGGACUAUAGCUUAGUAUCUCGCUAGCUUCCAAUUUAUAUAAAAUGUAGGCAAUAGAGGUUAGUAUAUCUUGUGUUUUCUCACAUAAAUGAUUACUUUUGCAUCGACUCUCUAUCAUUGGAUAAUCGAAAUAUGUUAAUCUAUAUUGCCCUUUGUUAUAGUUAAAAGAAAAUAUGUAACGCAUUCACGGGUGUGAGUCAAUGAAGUUGAAAUGCACCAUAAAGACAGAGUUCAAACCCCAUUAGUAAAUGAAAAAAAGAAGGCGACAACUAGGGGGUAUAUGAGUCGGAUUGGUUCGGAUUUUCUAAUUUAUAAAUCAAACUAAUUGUAUCGGGUUAUUAAAUCCAAAUACCAAACCAAACCAAUAAAAGUCGGAUUUUUUAAUCUCGGAUUUUUCGGAUUUUUUUUCUUCAGUCUUCAUAGCACAAAACGUAAAAUUUAUGCUCCACAUAUUUCUUUAAUCCUAGUAAGACAGAUAUUUAAAAACCGACCGAAUCAUACCGUACCGAACCGAUUUUCAGGUUUCUUUUAAUAAAAUUGUAGGCUUUUAUUUAAAUCUAUAAUCGUACCAAUAGUUAGGGUUUUUAUUUUGUAAAAAUAAACCAAAAAAAUACCGAACCGCACCGAAUAAAUUUACAUGUAGAAAAUAUAUUUAUAUAUUAAGUUUAAAAAUAAUAAAACAUUGGCCUUGGAAUUGUAAAAAUGGUUACAAGUCAACCAGUAAUUAAACUCAAAAUCUUAAUUUUCAAAUCUAUUAUGCUACUCAUAUUGACACUAAAUUAUUUCCAACAUAUUCACUAGCAAGACACAAGGUAUUCUAGUGAUUAUGUGUCGCAAACUGCAAUACCUUUCGUAUGAUUUAGAUUUAUCUUGUUGAGUGUUGAAUUUUUCAUAGAUUUUAUUCUUGAGUCCCAACUUGGCUAAUAUCUUUUUAUUCGUGUGAUUUAUAUUUUCUUUAUCUUUGCUUAGUUUCUUUUAUGCUGCUGUAGAAUAGUUGAUGGAUCUAUACUCUGGUCAUCUUUCAUGUUUUCUUAAUUCAUCACCUUUUAAGCAGUAAAAAUGUCUAGAGAGUUUUACGAAUUCCUAUAAAUGUACGUAUGUUAUUGCAUUUUACUUUCUACUAGUGUCUUUUACAUGAUAUUUAAAAAAAAAUAUCGAAAAUUAACUGAAUCGUACCGAUAUCGAAGGGAAACCGAUAUGAUUGGGACGGUUUUAAAAAGUCAAAUUUUGGCUAUGUAUAAUAAAAUAAUCGAAAAAUUAAUAUAAUACAAAUUUUAUAACAUAACCGAUCGAACCGAACCAUUGAUAGUUCAAUCCACAUUAGUAAAUGACAAAAAGAAGGCGACAGGGCCUAAGUAGAUCGGGACAAGUUGUACCUUCAAAUUGAAAAUAAGUGACUAAUUGUUUAAUCACCACGAUUAUAAAAUAUGAAUACCAUCAGAAAGGUAGAAGGCUAGACGUGUGAUCUAAUGGUCAAUGAGAUGGGUUGAGACGACAAAAAUAUUACUAGUAGUUAAAUUCUUACUAUUUUUCUAAGUUGAGUUAUAUAUUUCGGUGGACAAAGUUAUCUGAUAACUAUGCUAGAGGGAAAUAACUAUUACCCAAUGAAUAAUCGAGGUGCAUCCAAAUUAUCGUACCUUAUCAACCAAAAAAAAAUAGAAAUGACUAAAAUCACAUAGGCAAGACAACUUGCAUUUAAUUUCUAGCAUGUUUGACCAUGCUUCUUUUAGGUUUUUUUUUUUUUGGGGCCAAAAACAUUUUUUUCAAAAGUUAAAGUGUCUAACCAAGCUUUUAGAAGGAAACAAAGUAUUUCUGAGCAGAAGCAGAAACAAUAAUUUCUCCCCAAAAAUAUUUUUUUGAAAGGCACUUUUGAAAAAAUUAUACCUAAAAAUGCUUUUUAAAAGUUUGGCUAAAAGCCCUUUUGGCCAAGCUGCCAAAAAAUGCUCAUUUUGAAAAGUGCUUUUGUUUCAAAGUGCUUGUUGGAAAAGUACUUUUGCAAAAUAACAUUUUGUGCUUGGUCAAUUCGUUUGGCCAAUCUUUAAAAAAAUACUUUUAACCAUCAAAUUGCGAAAAAAGACAGUAAAGGCUUAAUUUUGCGAUUAGUAUUAUUUAGAAAAAGAAAAUAAACUUAAACAUUUAUUAUAAUUUUUUUAAUGUAAAAUAUAAAACGUAAAGCAAAAAUAUAAAUUAAAAAUUCCAGUCAAUAUAAAAUAUUGUUAUUCCAAAGUAAUAACAUUGCGUAUUUGUUAUUACUUAUCGUGUACAUGAUAAUUUAAAUACGUCAAAAUACAUCAUUGAAUAUAAAUUUAAAAUCCACUCUUAAGAAUAGGAGAAAGUGAAUAAAAAUAUAAUUAAAAUAAAAAAAGAAAUGUAUAGUAGAAAUAAAAGGAAUACAAAAAAAAAUUAAAUUAAUGAGGGAUAAUUUGAAAAUAUAAAUUUAUUGUAAGAUUAUUUUUGUCUUGAAUAAAUUAAUUUUCUGCUUCUACUUCUACUUCUUGGAAGAAGGUAGAAAUUGUAACUUCUCCCUAAAAGCAGAAAAACUAUUUCUCAUGUUGCUCAAAAGUACUAUUUAAUUUUGGCCAAACACUAUAUUUUUCAAAAAGUACUUUUUUUGACAAAAAAAAUACUUUUGGCGUCCUAGAAGCUUGGCCAAACAGACUCUAAAUAUUGAUUCUCAUUAAAAAUAAUUUUUUGAAAAAUACUUUUCAAAAUAAGCUAAUUUUAGUAGCACGACCGAACAUGCUAGAACAUCUAGUCCCUCUACUUCAUGCAGCUCUUUUGACGGGUACGCUAAAAGUAGUAGGUUCCAUUAAUCCUUGUUGUUUCCACCAUUUCAGCAAAUGUACACUUCCCUGAUGUUGAAGCUCAGUGUACUCUUAUUUUCUUUUCUGUUUUACUUUUCUCCCUCCAGAUAUAACUCAAUUGCAUAAUUCUCCAUCUCUAAAACUUUCCAGUGCCCGCUAAUUUAAUCCUAAAUAGUAUUCACACAGUUCAUAGUUAACAGAAAUAACCUCCAAGGUCUAAUAACUCUAAGAAAAAUGUGAAGAACAAAGGAACACAGUGGCGAAUGGUAAAGUGGAGAAUAGAAAGAAGAGAAAGGAAAGAGAUAUCUGAAAAGAAGAUCAAGGGAAACAAACAGCACUUAGCUUGGGGAAGAGGAUAUCAAGUAAACAGAAAUAUGGCUGGUGAAGGUUGGACUCGGUAAAUUCAUCUUUCUCGGCCAUUAAAGCACAGAAGAUACCCUGUUAGAUAUGAUAUAAGCUGGUUUAUCGCGUGAAAUCUAUUUCAGUAGGGCAUAUGAUGUUGAUGGCCCAAGGUAGAGCGCUCAAUAUGGCAAUCCAUAAUAUAACUGCUGAUGGCAUCUAAUAAGCUCAACAUUAAGGAACGGCCUUGAAUAUGCAAUACAUGCUCACCCUAUUCACAGAAAUAUAAACCUUCAGAUCUAACCCGUCCUAGCCCAGACCAGAGAAUUUCACAUUGUAUUCAUACAAAAUUGUGCUUUUUCGUGUAAAGGUUUUGUGCAGGGCUGCAGGCAAGAAAAUGAGCAGGCUAGUUUAGCAACAGUGGUACAAUCUUCUUUCAGUACUCCAAAAGAAAGAAUUCACAAAUAUAUUCACCUUAAGGUCAUUAAGCAUCCACUAACAAAUAGCCACUUUACAUAUGUGUGUGUGUGUGUGUACACAUUUAUAUGGUAUUAUCUAGAGCAUGUAUCAGAAAUAUAUUAGUAUAGUUUUGAGUAACUUGAAGCCUAACAGAGCAAGCCAAAGAAACCCUGAUGAGAAGUAUCAUCAUUUUGCAACCUUCGCAUUUGUAUAAAUACUAAUCCAUGAAAUCUAACCAAUAUUCAUAGUACAGAAAGGUAAUUCAUCCCUAAAAUAAGCUGUCCGAGACCAGAAAGUGAUCUCUCCAGCAUGGCAGUAGCUACUAGCUGAUGCCACAAAGCAAAGAAAUCUAGUAAAUAACAAUCUGGAAUCACUUACAUCAUCAGCCACCAAGGAGAAGCGCCAUAUCCUACAGCAAAUUGUGAUGUGCUGUACAUGUUUUCAAAGCUCUUACUGGUGGUUCCAGCUCCAUCCACUCGUGUAGAAAAGUUAACUCACUAAGGCCCAAAAGUAGAAGCUAUCCAUUGUAUCAGAUGCUAAUUUUCCAUUGUACCCUCAGUAUUGUUUAAGAGACUACUUUUUAAUGCAUAAUUAGUUUGCAACUUUUUAUUCAAACAAAGGGAUAGUAGAUUCAAAUAGCAGAGAGCUAACAUCUCCUAAAAAUUUGUACAUACCAUCAAGCGACUAAUUGCCUCUUCACUCAGAACUUCAAAAAAGCUGAAGCGAAUUGUAUGUAGAAGCUAGAGACACCAUAAAACGCUAAUAUAUCACAUCCCGUAGCUAUUAUUGAAUCUGAAGCGAAAGAACUACAAGCAAAAAAAAAAAAAAAAGAAACCAGAGCAGGCUCACAAUCAGAGAAGUGCCUAGAUCAUGCAAGCUUCUCUUGUUCCAAAUUCACUCACACUUUGUUUCCCUUUGAUGUAACAUAAUAAAAGGGAAAAGUCAACUAUAGGUUACUUCCUAGAAAAUUUUACAAGGUUCACUGAAGCAUAAUCAUUAUCCCCUAGAUAGAUAUUGUCAAUCACGAUAGAAACUCUACUUCAUUUGACCCAAAAAAAAGGGAACAAUCACACCAAUAAAAAGGAACACUUCCAAGACAGCAGUAAGCUCAAUAGUUCAAAUCCUGGUUGUCGUCAUCUUGAUACAGAUUAAAAUUAAAACAUAUACUACACGGAAAGAAUGUCUUCUCCUUCCUUACCAGCAAGUAUCAUACAAUUUAUAAUGGUUCUUUCUCCAAGAUAACACAAAUAUCUUAAAAGAAAAGUUUGCAUAUGUCAUAAUAUCCACACAUAUAUAGAUAUGCACAACUUAAAAACAUCAACAUAAGUAAAAGUCGUUUGAGAAAGAUAUCAAAUCAGCUCCGUACUGAGAAAAUAGACUUCAAAUUUGACAGAAGUAGCUCGAGUGUGACAUUGGCGAACAUGCGAAGCAUUUAAUCCUCCAACUCAGUGGAAACAUCUAUCGCAACGAUAGAUGAAAAAACACAGU